AGGUCCAGCAACUGUCUGAGUUGGUGUAUAUUCUGUCAGAGACUGCGUGAACAAUGUUAUGAACAGAAUGAUGUCAAAUUGUCUUAUGGCAAAGUUCAAUAUGAGGGGUGGUGGACAUCUGGAAAAGAAGUCUUUUAAAGGCACACCUUUGUAUUAUGUUAUUCAAGAUGCUGUGAAGAGGUGGAGCCCAAAUGCCAGAGACUCAGAAAUAGAUGCAGCUAUGGCAGACCACCUCAAGCACGGUCCAGGAUGAGCUGGGGGUUGUGAAUACACUAAAUAAGCCAAACAGCUGUAAUGUGUAAAAGAGAGAGUUCACCCAAAAAUGAAAAUUGUUAUAAUUUUCUUACCCACAUGUUUCAAACCUGUAUACAUUUCUAUUUUCUGCUGAACACAAAGAUUGAAAAAUGUUUGUAACCAAGCUAACUGUCAAUCAUUUUGAUUUACAACUGUAGUAAUGGGUUGUGAGAUCUGCUUUCAGCUUUCUAUUCUUUCAAAUAUCUUUGUGUUCAGUAGAACAUAGAAAAGUAUACAGGUUUGAAACAUAAGAGAGAGUAAAUGACUAAAUAAUCAUUUUUGGGUGAACUAUCCUUUUAUAUAGUAAAGUAUUUUGAAAUUGUUAUUAUAGUUAAACAGUUUAAAAAAAAUAAAAAGUGCUAAAUCAGAACAUGCUUCUUUUUUUUGCUUAUGUCCACAAAUAAUGUGUUCUUUAAUGUGUUUGAAAUACACGUGAUUACAACGUUAUAAAGACGUUCAGGUUUGACUGGACUA
Misgurnus anguillicaudatus (oriental weatherfish) is the source of this 768-nucleotide non-coding RNA. The record is from RefSeq and is a predicted model, not a curated record. NCBI's taxonomy places the organism in Eukaryota, Metazoa, Chordata, Actinopteri, Cypriniformes, Cobitidae.